GACGAACGCUGGCGGCGUGCUUAACACAUGCAAGUCGAACGAUGAAGAAAAGAAUUGAAGCUUCGGCAGAAAUUCAUUUCGGAUUAGUGGCAGACGGGUGAGUAACGCGUGAGCAACCUACCUCUUACAAAGGGAUAGCCUCGGGAAACCGGGAUUAAUACCAUAUAACAUUGCGACGAAGCAUUUCGAUGCAAUCAAAGCUACGGCGGUAAGAGAUGGGCUCGCGUCCCAUUAACCAGAUGGUGAGGUAACGGCUCACCAUAGUAACGAUGGGUAACCGGCCUGGGAGGGUGAACGGUCACACUGGAAAUGAGACACGGUCCAGACUCCUACGGGAGGCAGCAGUGGGGAAUAUUGCACAAUGGAGGGAACUCUGAUGCAGCGACGCCGCGUGAGUGAUGAAGGAAUUCGUUUCGUAAAACUCUGUUCUAUGGGAAGAAAAGGACUGUACCAUAGGAGAAAGCUCCGGCUAAAUACGUG
Molecule: ribosomal RNA, 480 nt
Filed under: uncultured bacterium
Lineage: Bacteria
Description: partial 16S ribosomal RNA
Rfam family: Bacterial small subunit ribosomal RNA
Source: RNAcentral